This 455-nucleotide long non-coding RNA is filed under the name Linum usitatissimum (flax). RNAcentral's name for it is "long non-coding RNA (LUSI_LNC002309)". The record is from RNAcentral. Lineage: Eukaryota; Viridiplantae; Streptophyta; Magnoliopsida; Malpighiales; Linaceae.
CGCGUGGCACACCACCUUGUCGGGAUUAUUUACCAUUAUCUCCCCGGCAAUCAGCUUGGUUUUGGUCGUGGCUGUGGUUGUGGUUCCGUCCCAAAAGAUGAGUGAGACCAACUUUGGCGAGCAUGGACGGAAGCAACGAUAAGGGGAGAUUGCGUUUCCCAUGAUGAUGAGGAUGUUUUGUGAUUUUGGUAAGAAGGAUCGAUAGAUUUGGGGGGUGAGACGACCUUGCUUACAUAUAUAUAAAGAGGCGGAGAAAGUCCACGUCGCCUAUGAAGUAAAAGGUCUUAUUUUGGGAGUUGGGUGUUUGGUUUUGGAUUGUUAUGAGCAUUUUUUUAUAUCACUAAUAAUGAAAUAAAACAAUGAUUUUGUUUACAAGUAGAUGUCGUCUCGUGAGGAAAAGGUGCUCCGUGGGGCCCAGUCGGUGGUCAGCGUUGGCGGCCUUUAUUUUAUGGACA